UACGGGGGGGGCAAGCGUUGUUCGGAAUUACUGGGCGUAAAGGGCUCGUAGGCGGCCAACUAAGUCGGAUGUGAAAUCCCCAGGCUUAACCGGGGAACUGCGUCUGAUACUGGAUGGCUUGAGAUUGGGAGAGGGAUGCGGAAUUCCAGGUGUAGCGGUGAAAUGCGUAGAUAUCUGGAGGAACACCGGUGGCGAAGGCGGCGUCCUGGACCAACACUGACACUGAGGAGCGAAAGCCAGGGGAGCAAACGGG
RNAcentral lists this ribosomal RNA (253 nucleotides) under uncultured bacterium. Its description in RNAcentral is "partial 16S ribosomal RNA". It matches the Rfam family "Bacterial small subunit ribosomal RNA", at positions 524 to 776 of the family's 1533-position model. The record is from RNAcentral.